CUUUUUUUUUUUUUGUCACGGGGUUCAUUGGAUCUUGAUAACAAUUUACCUUCACCACCAAGAGGAAAAAUACAAAUGUUUACAAGUAUAAAUCUAUUAAUUUUUUUAAGAUUCUCUUCGUACGAAUGUUGCUAUGAAGGUCUAAUAAACGGAUGUAACUGCUUGUAUUAUUCAGUUUAUAAUAUUCAAAUGAUAUCCAUAUAUAUAGAAAGUAUAUUUUUUUUCCCCUUAUAAUAUGUGUAACAAAAUAGAAAUUCUUUGGCAUUAUUUAACUAUCAUGCACAAUUCACAACAUUAUUACCUAAAAUUCGAGUAGGCAGAGUUAUGCAACUCAUUUUUUUUUGGUUAACCAUUAUGAAACUCAAGUUGUUAGUGGAUUUUUAGACGCAAGUAAUCGAUCAUGUGAGUUGACCAAAAAACAUGUUGAAACGCUCUUUAAUUUUGUUAUUUAAAAUAUUAAUUAGAAUUCGUAUCGAGAAAAUAUUAAUCACUAAUUCUAAAAGAAAAAGUUUAAACUUUUCUAGGUCCAAUCUCUUAAUUAAACUAAAGUUUAUUUGAAGUUCAUAACAGCAAGGAUCGUAUGCAUGCAUUUCUCCAUAUUUCCCUAAUAGUCUUUUUUUUUUUUUUUUUUCCUCGUAUGUAGUCUUUCUAGAGUAGUCUGUCGACCAGAUGAGUUCAACAUUUUUGAUUUGAUUAAUUGGAUUUAAAAUGAAUUAGAUUUUUGGGACGCCAAAACUAACCAAUUCUAUAAAAUAAACAUGCUUUUUUUUUUUUUUUGAAAUGCAUUUUUUCAAAAAGUUUCUUCGUAAUAAGGAUUUAAGAGGUGCAUUUUAUUUUUCUAAAUGAAGUUAAAAAUCAUACGAAACUAAUUAUUUCAGUUUGAUUCAAAUACUGUCUACACCAAAAAUAAAUUGAAACGAAAAAAUACGUUUAAAAUUAUCAUCAAGUUGUUACUAUUCUUAUUAUCAAGAAGAAUACAUACAAAAAUAUGUAUAUUUAUUUCUCAAUUCUCAUGAACCCAAGAUAUCUUGAUGUGGCGAUAUCUGUUGACCCAUACGUCAACCAAACGUCAACCAAAACCCACAAAUUAUUAGUACAUUUUAAUUUUAUUUUUCAUUUUUCAUUUUCAUUUUCAUUUUUCUUACUCCUUUCAUAUUAGAAAUAUUGAUUUUCUAAGAUUUUCACUAAAAUUAAGAAAUCAAUAAAUAAUGUAUAUUUAUUAAUUACUUUUAUGUUAUAUCUUUUAAAAAAAUGAUUUCAAGCUACUUUUUAUCCCACUUACUCCAAUCAACUGAUCUUGAAAAAAAAAGACAUUAAAUAUACUACAGAAAAUUAAUCUUUUUGAUAUAAGAAUAAAACCUCAAACAUCAUUCUUUUUGAUACGGAAGAAAUAUAUAUUUAUGGAAAAAUUAAUUAGUCUGUGGAUUGGGGAAGUCUGUGUGAUGUGUAGUGUAGAGUGUAGACACCUGAUGGAUGUUUAACCACGUUACCUCAAAUUCCACAACCAUGUAUACAUUUAUUAAAUUGUCUAAGAAAAUAAUUCCUAUUAGCUUAUUAAAUAGUACUCCCCUUUGCAAUUCUAUGUUUUUUUUUUCAUCUGAACUCUUUUGUCUGUACAAUUUUCUCCAUUAACUCUUUAUAUGUUAUAAUCGUCGCAACGUGUGAAUAAACUAUAUAAAGUUUUCAAGUCAAAUUUGUAUAACAGUUAAAUAAUUUAUAUGCCUACAAAUGAAGUGAGUUAUAACCCGUGUUAAAAAAAUCGCUAGGCGCUAGUCGGGCGGUGAGGGUGCGCCUAGCGCCUAGCAAAAAAAUCGGGGAUUACACGGGGAUUAAUCGGGGAUUAGUUUUAGGGCUAUUUAAUAUUUUAAAAACAUAUUAAUCCAUUAUAAUUAAGUAAUUUAUAUAAUAUUGUUUUUAAAAUUGUAUUAAACACAUGAAAACAAGAUUUUAAUUUCAAAUUUAUGAUUUUUAUACAAAUUACGAACAUAAGUAGGACGUUUUGAAUUUUAGAUGAAAAAAAAAGUAAAAAAAAAAAAAAAAAUUGGGCUAGGCGCCGUCUAGGCGGUCUAGGCGGCCGUCUAGGCGGUCCAGGCGGACAAAAAAUCAAAAAAUCUCCGAUUUUUCUCAUCGAUUUGGCCAAAAUCGCCGCGGUGCUCCUCCGAUCAGCGCCUAGGCGGCUAGGCGGCCGAUUUUUAGAACAAGGGUUAUAACUAUAGUUUUCUCUAAAACUGGACCAAAGAGGAGCAAAACAGAAACUCCCAAGUCCCAAUGGACCUUUCAUGUUUAUGUGUAUAUACAUGAUCGUGUAGCAAAAUGCGUUGUCAUGUCUCUUCAGUGUAAUCGAUCAAUAUAAGCAACAUAUAAGUAUCACUUUUUUUUAACCUAAAUGAUUCCCACGUUGGCUGCAACCUGACAUCAUAUUUAACUAUCUUGCUUUCUUUCUCUUCUCAAGUGUAUAUCCAAAGUCAUGUAUUUUCUCUCUCAAUACGCUUUAAAUUCCUAUUUUAUCUGGUUUAUACCUGAACUAUUGAUAUAUGCCUAAAAAUAAGAUUUUGGAAACUAAAAGGAGAUAGAAACUAGUCUUCUUAAUUCGGUCUGAACCGACCACAAUUUUGAUUUUUGGGUUUAACCGACCACAAAUCUCUCUUAAUGAUUUAAAACAUUUUGGUAGUUCUUUUACUAAUUAAUAGAGUCAAUCUUCAUCUUGUAUACGUCGUUGAUAUUUGCCAUGCAAAGAAAAGGAGAUGCAAAAUAUUGAACCACUUUUCUUGUGACUAAUUAUUGUAUUUGUUGGACGAGGAUUAAUUUAUUACCAAUAAGUAAGGACCAUAUGAAAAAAUAAAAAAUAAACAAAAAUAAUGGUGGCUGCAAACUUAUCAUUCGAGAUAUAAAUAACAUUCAUAAGCAAUAUUAUUAUAUUUACUAAUUUUACAAAUACCAAUUUGCUUCAAGUCUUCUUCUCUAUUUAUACAUCUUCUUCUCCAAUCCAACAAAACACACACAUACACUUACAUCUCCAUCCUCUUGUCCUAAAAAGCUUCCCAAAUCUUUUUUUUUUCUUCUUCUACAAUCUCAAAAUUUCUUCUGUUUUCUCCUCACAACCAGACAAGCAAACUCUAAACUCUGUGGAAGAUGUAUGGAAAUAAUAACAAGAAGUCUAUCAACAUCUCGAGUAUGUUUCAAAACCUCAUCCCCGACGGCAGCGACAUUUUCUCCCGGCGUUGCAUCUGGGUCAACGGACCGGUCAUCGUUGGAGCUGGCCCAUCAGGUCUAGCCGUUGCUGCGGGAUUGAAACGUGAAGGAGUACCGUUCAUAAUCCUCGAGCGAGCUAACUGCAUUGCUUCAUUAUGGCAAAACAGAACCUACGAUCGUCUCAAACUCCAUCUCCCUAAACAGUUUUGCCAAUUACCCAAUUAUCCUUUCCCGGACGAGUUCCCUGAGUACCCUACCAAGUUUCAGUUUAUUCAGUACCUUGAGUCCUACGCAGCCAACUUUGACAUCAACCCUAAGUUCAACGAGACAGUCCAGUCCGCAAAAUACGACGAGACGUUCGGGCUGUGGCGGGUUAAGACCAUUUCGAAGAUGGGUCAGCUCGGUUCUUGCGAGUUUGAGUAUAUCUGCAGGUGGAUUGUGGUGGCCACGGGAGAGAAUGCUGAGAAAGUUGUGCCGGAUUUUGAAGGUCUAGAGGAUUUUGGCGGCGAUGUUCUCCAUGCUGGUGACUAUAAAUCUGGUGGAAGGUACCAAGGGAAAAAGGUUUUGGUGGUGGGAUGUGGAAACUCCGGUAUGGAAGUCUCUCUCGAUCUCUACAAUCACGGAGCAAACCCAUCAAUGGUCGUUCGUAGCGCUGUAAGUACCAAAAGUUUGAGUCUUUAUAUCCUCCAAAAACAGAGCAUUCUCUGUUUCUUUUACUCUGUUUUAAAAAACAGAGCAGUCCCUGAUACUCUGUUUUUUUUGUGUCCUUUCUUUUUUUUUUAUCAGGUGCAUGUUUUACCAAGAGAGAUUUUUGGGAAAUCAACGUUUGAAUUAGGAGUUACGAUGAUGAAGUAUAUGCCAGUUUGGCUCGCGGACAAGACCAUACUCUUUCUAGCGAGGAUGAUUUUAGGGAAUACCGAUAAAUACGGUCUAAAAAGGCCGAAAAUUGGACCGUUAGAGCUAAAGAACAAGGAAGGGAAAACUCCAGUACUUGACAUCGGAGCGUUACCCAAAAUCAGAUCGGGAAAGAUCAAAAUCGUCCCCGGAAUCAUAAAGUUCGGUGAAGGAAAAGUUGAACUAGUGGAUGGCCGUGUUCUUGAGAUUGAUUCCGUUAUUCUAGCUACCGGAUACAGAAGCAACGUCCCUUCAUGGCUUAAGGUAAUAAAUAAUUUAAAGAAAACAUCUUUCCUUCAUUGUUUCUUCUAAAGAUUUAGCUUAAAUUGUAGACAUUUAAUGAUGUCGGAAGACAAAACACAAAUACCCACCCGACCCGGUCCUCGUUUAGUGAAGACCCGACUCAAAUUGUGUUUCGAAUGUGAGCAAUAAAUGCAAAUAAAACAAUUAACAUUUAUAUUUUUCAUCGAAAAGGAUACGAAAUGGUGGUACGAGUUUUUUAGUUAGAAAUAGAAAUCCGGUAAUGACAGUUAGGACUAAGAAAGAAGUUGGUUUAAUAAAUUCGUGUUGGAUUUUAAUUAAAAUUAUUUUACAGGACAAUGACUUCUUCUCCGAUGAUGGGAUACCGAAAAACCCGUUUCCAAACGGAUGGAAAGGAGAGGCGGGAUUGUAUGCGGUAGGGUUCACGAGAAAAGGAUUGUUUGGUGCGUCGCUUGAUGCUAUGAGUGUGGCUCAUGAUAUUGCUAAUAGGUGGAAAGAAGAGUCUAAGCAACAGAAGAAAACUGCUGCUGCUCGUCAUCGUCGAUGUAUUUCACAUUUCUAACUAUCAAAAUCAAAUUUAGGGGGAAAAUAUAUAUUUAAAAAAAGAUAAUUAAGCCCUCUCCUCAGAAGAAAAAUACCCCAAAAAAUAAGAGAAUUGUGAAAAGAAAAUAAAAUUAGGGGGAUUUUUCUUUGUUUUUUAGGAAGAUGUGGCUUUUUUAUGUAAUUUUUAUUGUAAGAGUGCUUUUUUUUGUUCUUGUAUUUUUUUUUCUAUCUUCAUUUUAGAUUUUGAACUCUUGUAAGAAGUUUUGCUUAAUCUAAUAUGACAAAUAUUUUACGAUUCUUGGUAAUUCUCACGAAGCAUGUUGUGUUAGCUCUAUGAUUUUUGUUGUUGUUGCUGUUGAUUAGGAAAAGAAACAACUAAUUUCAUGCUGUUUCAUUAUUGGUAGAAUACUCUCGCAAGUUAGAGCUGUUAUUUAACUGAUUAAGGAAUUAUUAGCCAUUUUGUAAUCAUUAAAUCAGGCAAAUGAUUGAUUGAUUACACAUGAUUGUCCAAGACAAUCCGUAUAAAAGAUUGGGAACACAAGUUGAAUACUGAAACAUGCAUUCCUGUAUGAUAUGCAAAAUCCAUUAGGGAUGACCAGUUUAUCUAUUUUUGGAACACAGAUGGAUAAUAAAUAGUAUAUCGUAACAUUUAAAACAUUCUCAGAAAAAACUUGAGUGAAAUCAUAUAGUAUUAUAUAUGAUGUUUGAUCUAAUUAUAAAUAUAUAUUUUGAAACAGAUACAGAUCCAAAUUAUGCAAUACAUAUAUGUCAAAUUGGAUUUCAAAAUUCAAGGUACCAGAGAGUAGCUUUAUUUCACUAAAUAUAUUAUUAGAAAAAAACGUUUACAUACUCUGUAUAUGGACAAGCCUCUGUUGAAAAAAUUCAACUAUGGUGCAAAAGAUCAGAGACAUUUAUGGGUUUCACUUGAGAUUCUGAGAGUCUCUGCAGCAAAGUCAUUGAACCAGCAGAACAGAGAAUUGACAAACAAAAGGACAAAUUAGAAGAGAGUAAAAUUUGAAGUUUCCAAUUUGUAAAAUAUGGUGAUGAGUGAGUGAGUGGGUGAUGAGUGAGUGAGUGAGUGAUAAGCUUAACCAUGGUUCCUUCUUCUCUGUCCAAACAAAAAAAAAAACAUUAAAAGCUAAUUCCCCCCAACUGUGUAAAUGUCUGGUUCCCAUCCUCUUAAAACAGUUAUUCAUGUUCUCAUGCAAAACCCUGCAACCUUUUACUCAGACAUUACCUUAACCUAAAGAUAUGGAGGAAGGAAACCACAUGGCGUGAUUUCGAUUCAGCCGCCCAUUUAGACUGUUUCUUAUUCUCUGUUCUCUGUCAAAAACACCAAACCAACCCAUCUUUUCUUGCCGGUGUCUUACCAAAUUCACGAGGGAAAUAGUUUUGGAUAUUACUAUCAUACUACAAGUUGAGAAAGAGUAGGACCAAUGUACAUUUACUCACUUGUAGGAUGAAAUAUACAUUUGCAAACUUACAUGAGAAAGGCCUAAAAUGUUCAUUUCCUGGAAAGCAUUUUAUCUAUAUGGCCGUUUUUGUUGUACAUUUCCACUAUCUUUUUGGCAUAUGAUGGCAUGUGGAUGUUGGCUCUGCAGAUGGUAAUGCCGCUUUGGUCAUUAGAGGGUGAUCCAAUAAUAUAGGAAUACAAAGUUGAUAGAAACUUUUAUCUCUAGGAGUGUGUUUCAGAUUUUACCUUUGCUUUCCCCAUUUGCGGUUUACAUGCAAAUAGUUUCUGAUGGUAUGGUAGUCCAAUGAGUAGCGAGCAAAUUCUAGACCCUUAGGACCAACCUGAAGCGAGAAUGCUUUUGCAAGUUAAAAGACUUUUUAUGCAAUGAGCUUGUUUCUCUGUUUGUGUUCAUAAGGAAAGAAUCUUACCAAACUUAGGAUGAACGCAAUAAUGUUUCCAACAAAUAUUGGUGCUGGCUGAGCAGGACCUCGACCUAAGAAAUUAUAGAAAAGUUUGAAAAAUUAGAAGACUUCAGCACAAUGUUAGUUGAAUGCAUUUCCUGAGAACUUUCUUUUCGGCAUCUAGCAUAGCUUGAAACUGAAUGUCUUUGAGUAGAGAUGAUUCAAGAAACAAAAGAGUUUCGAAAAAGUUUGAAAACAUACCAAACUUAGCAUUAUCGUCUGCCUUAACAGUUUCUGUCACAAAAGGUCGCCGAUCACCCUGAAACAACAACAAAAAGAUGAGUUUGUUCAAGUUAUUUGUUAAAUGGAGUUUAAAGUCUUAAAUAUAACAACAACAUAAAUGUUAGAAACUUUACGCUGCUGAUUGUUGGAGUGAUCUCCAAAAGGUUUUCUACCAAGCUGAGCAUUUCUUUCCCGCGUUCAUUUCUGUGGUUUAUGGCAUAAACAAAACUAAUUUUAUCCAACCUCACGGACCUAUAUGGUCCAUGUCAAAAUUAGUAGAAAUAUUGACCUCACUGUAAUAUACUGUGGAUGGUCAGUCAUGUUCAGACCUGAAUACUUCGGAACACCCAUGUAACCGAUAACCAAAUCCUAGAUUAACAAGCUCAUACAUAUAAGGAAAUGUUUGAAAUUGGCAGACUCAAAAUUAAGUGAAAAGAUAACUUAAUUGCUAGAGAAACACUCACCGCUAAUGCAUUUGUGUAAUCAAAGCAGCUGCAAAAUAAAAAAGAAAGGGUUUGUAAUUGUAGAAAAGUUUUACAAAUUUCCUACAGGUAAUCUAUUUGAAGAGACUUAUAUUACCUGUAACACGAUGGAGCUAUGACAUCUACUAAAUCGUUUGCUGGUAGAGAGAAAUAGGGAACCUGCUUUAGCCAAAAAUAUUUAGAAACGGGUUUAAGCUGCAAUUGCAGAGCAACACAGUAUUUUAUGCGAUUUCACCUCUUCAAUGUGUCCAUCCAAGUGUUUGAGUUGGACCUAUAUGAAAUUGAAGAAGAUUAGCAUCACCAAAGAAAAUGCACAGAUAAGUAACGGUAUUGUAUUAAUGCUAACCUUGUAAUCUUGCAUAAAUUCAUAAUGGAGAACAGUCUCUGGCUCCUUACUAGCCGCUUUCAGAAACUUGUCUAGUCCAUCUCGUGUUCCAUUGUCCACUAUUAAUCAAAGAUGCUAUUAUUACUUGUUGAAAACAUGUAUAAGCAUUUCUAGACCUAGGCAUAUGAGACCCGGAAAUAACAUAUACAACAUGGAAUGUUCAAAAGUACAACACAAGAACUAGUUGUGAAAGUUCUGGCCAAAAAAAAAAAUCUAGAUAGGAUGAGAAAAUUACCACAAUUGGUGCCUAGAACAUACAACUUCUCCAGAUUCAGAUGCUGCUCCACUGAUCUCAAUGCUGCAGUAUAAGAAAUCACUCUGCAUUACAAUACUAUUAGAGUCACCGUAUGAAGAAACUUGAAUAUAUGUCCACAAAAAAGUAUGUUGAAACCAUACCUUGCACUUGGCAACCCACACCGCAAAACAGAAGACGUUUCACUCCGGAAGCCUGUUACAAGGCAAGUGCAGUUUCAUUUGAAGUGGACUCAGCGAUCGAUAACACAAACGAGAACGAAGGGUUUGGCAAAUAACCUCGAUUAAUUCAAGAGUAUUCAGAUUAGGAGACAGAGUUGGCUUGACACCUCUUGCAGCCAAAACUUCUUCAGGUGUCCUUAGCAUGAAAAGAAAUAAAACAUCAAGAGGCUUCUAAAUUCAGAGUAACACCAGAAUAUGGAUGCACAACCAAAAUGGCGACUUGUGGAAAACCUGGCUAAUACUGGUCUUGGAGAUAAUCUGUCUUCAGGAUCACUGUAAUUUUUCAAUAACUCAGUUACAUGAGUAGAUGGAAAAAUCUACGGCAUGGUUGAUAAUUGUCAGCCUAGUCCAUUUCUGAAAUCUAGUUUUACCUCUGCACACAAACAACAGCCUCAACCAUGUUAGAUUUCAGCAUCUCAAUGGCUAUGGUUGUGACAAUUCCAGUCCACUGAGCUCCUGCAACCGAAAAUCAAAUGAAAAGUAAACAACAAAGCUAAGCCAAAUUCUCAAGUGUAGGCGGGAAUUCAUCCCUUUUACAGCCACAUGAAACGCAAAUGUUACAUAGCUUUCAAGAUCCAAACAAAAUGGUCUGAAGCUUCUUCCACGCACAUUUAUACAAAAGAAACCAAAACAGAUAUGAACGUUGAUGUACUGUAAACCAGUAACACAAAACUUUUUCAUCUUGAACGAGACACAAAAAAAUGUCCUAGCUUAAUUCGAGCCAAGAAAAGAAGUUAGUAGAAAAUGUGGAACAGUGGAAGGGAAGUGUCUAUGUACCUUCGACAGGCUUCAACUUACGAGCAUAGAGCUGCUCUUGAUGCACCCCAAAAUAUGUAUCUUCUAAGGAAUCUGGUUUCCUUCCUCUACCAUGCACAACAGGCUCCAAGCUCUGCACAAAAACUUAAAAUAUUAACAAAAUAAAAAUCUUAACCCAACAAUUUAAAAUGUAUCAAAUCUUAUCCAUUUAUAUGGACAUUACCUCAAUCCUUGACAUUCCAUCUCCAAGAAAUGCACAUGCCUCCUUCACAUGGGCGAUGUAAUAGGUGUCACAUAACCCGCAUCGACUGCAAACCCAUUAGAACACCAAGGAUUUUGAUAAGAACAAGACAAAAACAGGAAGGUAAACAAAUAAAAAAGAAAGACAAAACCUGCAAUGGUCUUUAGCUGGAUAGGUUCCUCCGGGUGGGAUAGGUUUGGACUUUUCUCUCCAGUCUUCUCUUAGUUUAACUUUCUUUUUUGGCUCUGUAUUCAUAUCUGCAUUGAAACCCAGAUGACAAGGCUUCAUGCAGGCUCCGGGGAGCUAAUAAAAACACACCAGGCAAAAAUCGAUGCGAGAUAAAACGAAAUCUGUUCCUAAAGUCUUAUAUUUUCAAGCAUAAAUUGCUACAGUGAAGUGAAACGUAUUAAUCUAACACAAAAUUCUAUCUUCAGAGUUCAAACUCGAUAGUGACAGCCGUGGAAGACCAGUUCAAGCCUUUGACAAACAUAACCAAUAUGUUUUAAAAGAAAUUCCGAAUCUUACAUAAAAAUUCUAUCCCUUUGACGAAUUUCAGGGAUCGUUUCCAUUGAAAUUUUGUAAAGACGGGUCUUUUAAGAAAUUGAAGAAUCAACGAUGUGUGUGAACAGAGUGCCAAAAAGAGAAGACGUGGCAGAAAGAAAUUGAGCACCUUUGGAACGCGAAGAUGAAGUGUUAACGACAGAGAAGCAUGGAGGAAGGAGAGAGAGCUUGGAGGUGACAGUAAUCAUGGUUGCUCAGCGAGAGAGACGAGAGGAGAGAGAGAGACGAGAGAAAAAAAAAAAGAUAUUUUGCUUUUGAACUUCUGAUAUCUUUUGUUCAUAUAGGCAAAUUAAUUACAGACACCUGUUAGAAAGGAACCAAACUUGAAAACCACUUUAAACCGGGUUUUGGUUCGAAAGACCAAGUUCUGUAUUAUCGUCUUUACUUAACCGAAUUCUAAUUCAUAAACCGAAAACUAAACCACUCUUGCAAGCUUGCUGAUGACACUGUUGUUUUUUUUUUACUCAUUUGCCGAAAAACACACAGAGAUUAAUGUUCAAGCAAAACCAAUACAAGAAGAAUACUGUAUGUUGAAUCAUUCUCUUAUUACCCGAUGGAAAAAAAGAUAUAACAAGAACAUAUCAAUCCUCAGCGAAACAUUCACUCAUUCAUCAUCAUCAUAUGCAUUUGCGAGAAACUACAGAAUCACCAGACAUCAGGACGGAGUUCCCCAGUAGCCGGUGGCAUCCAGCGACCAGAAUUGUACACAUUCUCACCAACUUUCCAUCCCGGAACAUCUUUCAUUACAUCAGCCUCAUAUUCCAGAUACUUUUUCCACUCAGACACAAACCUUUUAUCCAAAGAAUGCAAAACGGGGAUUGAAACAAGAUUACUUUCUGAAGGUUGCUGCAAGCACAAUGACUUAAUUUGAUAAAAUAUUGUUUACCUUUCAUCUUCUUCUGCUUGAAGAAUGGGAAGUAUUGCUCUACGAGCAGCAUAUUUCUCUUCCUUCAAUGCCCUAAACAUCAAAUCGAUCUUGAUAAGAGCAUUAAUCUUGAUACUUACUGAUAACAAAUAACACUUGUACUUAAAUACUUUUUAUCACCACGAUGUGUAAUUGGAAAUUUUCGAUGAGAAUCAAGGAUGUCCAGAACAAGAAAUAUGAAGAUGAUGAUCAAGCCAGAUGAAAGAAGUAUGUAAUAAUACUAACGACUAUCAAUCUAACUACAUAGAACCAGUUCCCGAUAACUACUAUCAAAACAUGCAACUAGAUAAUUGCUUUCUUCAUAGCAGAUUCACAUCUUUGCAAUUGUCGCUUUAAGGGUUUACAGAUUGUUGAUGAACUUAUAUUCGUUAAGGCUAAACUCAUGCUGAUUAAGCUUGAAACCAAAAUGCCGUGGAAUACUACUAGAACACGUAACAGUGAUUCAACAAGCCAUGGAAACAGCAUGAAGAAUGGUUAACAUUAAAUUCCUAAUCCUAACACCAACCUAAAUAUUCACCAUCAUCUUUGAUUACGAUAAACUUCCUCAAGUUUCAACAAUUAAUAACCAAAAUUUAUCCUUUACUACAUUACUAUGAUCAUCAAUCACUCCACAACACUAAUUUUACCAAGGCGAUCUCGAAAGUCAGAGGAAAAAUUGAAAUGUGAGCGAGCUAUUAUAACUUGUUCUUACCUGCGGAUUUUGUUUCCCUGGCCGACCUGGUACAUUCCCCAAGCAAAGGCACCAGAAACGGUAAGGAAAAUGGCCAUAGCACUAGGACCCGUGUUGGAUAUCCGGCGAGCAUAUCGGACCGGUGCGAACCCACCCGGUGGCGGACCAUCCUGAAGCAGCGGCAUAUCCUUCACACUCGCCAUUCCUGGCUUAUUCCUAAUCACCGCCUCCGUCAUCUUCAACGCUCAAUUUCUUCUCGACCAAAUUUACUCUGAUCACUGAAUCCGAUUUUGAUUUUUGCUGAAAUCGAGUGUUCUAGGGAUCCCGAUGAACAACAACAACAAAGAGGACGUAUGAGAUUAAAUGGGCUUUUACUAGGCCCAUCAAGAAAAGUUCAAAGACCCAAGUCCAUAAAUCAGCAAGUCACGUGGAGAGUCACGUGAUUAUCUUCUUCUUCUUACAUAUAAAACGCCCUAACUAGUUGUUGUUCAGAAUGUUUUUAGCCGCCGACUUGGUAUCAUCAAAUCGAGGAGAUUCGAUUUCGAAGAAGCAUGGUGGGAUUUAAGAACAGGUACAUGUUAAUGGAAGUUUUUCUGGAUCCGGACAAAGAUCUUCUCGGGGAAGGAACACCGAUCAUUCUUACACAAUUCAAUCUCUCGAAAGCAAUCAAAGACAGUAUCCUCGUCAAUUUCGGCGAGUGUGGUCUAGGUUCGUCUCUCGGUUCCUUCCAGGUGAAAUAUGUGAAUCCAAUCACGAAGCUAUGCAUCGUAAGAUCAUCAAGAGAGGAACACAGACAAGUUUGGUCGGCAAUCACGUUGGUUAAAAGCAUCGGAAACUGUCCGGUGAUCUUAAACUUGCUCGAUAUCAGCGGUUGCAUCAGAGCGUGUAAAGACACAGCCUUGAAGUGCGACAAAGAGAAGUUUGAGCAGUGUAGCAAAAGCUUGUCUGAAGAGGAGAUUCGGCAGAUGAAUAAUUGUCUGGAGAAGAUCAAACUAUUGGAAAACUGAACUUUUGUAGACUUUUUUUCUUCGAAUUUGACCCCUAAGUUUUUGAAAGUGUAUAAUCUUUCCCCUUUUUGUGGAUUUUUCUCAAUUCUGAAAUACAAAGGGAUGAGAAACAGCAUCAUUCCCUGAAACGAUUGUUUGUGAUUUGAAUCAUUGGUUUUUUUUUUUAUAUGUUGAAAUUAAAAUAAGAGGGUGUGAAUUGAGGAGAUUUGUUCUAAAUAAGCGUAUUUAUGUGAAAUUUGAAAACUUAAGGGCACAAGUGCAAAGUUGUUGAAUUUUGAAGCUUUUAAUAAAUCCAAAAUUUAUAAUCUGGAGAGAACCUAUCUCUGAGGUCCAAACUCUUGGGUGGAGGAGAACUAUUGAAACGGUAUGGGUAAAUCUAGCUCUUCAAAGUCUCUUACUUUACCGAUUACGUACUCUUGUGCGAUCAUUUAUAUUGGUUUUUAUCGGUGAUGUAAUCUUCAAAGUCUCCUUCUUUGUUUAUGCAUGUUAACUGUUCGAUAAAAUGCCUCACAGAGUUUGUAUCCUAGCUCCUCAGAUUUUAUUCUUAACUUUAGCUUAGUUGCCUUUUGGAAAAUUUGUGCUGUGUUAGUCAUGCUUUUAGACCCCCAUCACUAGUAUUAAGUUUGUGUGGAAAAAAGAACAGGAACUAUUUUUGUGUGCGUUGGCUCUAGUAUCUUCAUAGAUAACCUAAAUAGUUAGAGCUAAUUAUGGAUUCUGUGUUAAUGUGCAGGAAAUGAGAUCCCCUAGAACCUUGGAGGUUUGGAAACUAGGCACUGUCAACUAUUUGAAAUCCCUUAAACUGCAAGAGAAAUUAGUUUCAGAGAGAAAAGCUCAUCAUAUUCCAGAUACCCUCCUCUCACUUCAGCAUCCACCAACUUAUACGCUUGGAAAACGUAGAACCGAUCACAAUCUACUGAUCCCUGAAUCUGAACUUACAAAAAUUGGAGCUGAACUUCAUUAUACACAAAGAGGAGGAGACAUCACCUUCCAUGGCCCUCAUCAAGCCAUCUUAUAUCCCAUCAUUUCCUUACGCAGCAUCGGUUUUGGUGCUAGGAACUAUGUGGAGACAUUGGAGAGGUCAAUGAUCGAAUUUGCUUCGAUUUAUGGCGUGAAAGCUCGUGCAGGAAACAAAUGUGAGACUGGGGUUUGGGUUGGGGAUAGGAAGAUCGGUGCUAUUGGGGUUCGGAUAUCUUCUGGAAUAACUAGUCAUGGUUUGGCCUUUAAUAUAGAUCCUGAUUUGAAGUACUUUGAGCACAUUGUGCCUUGUGGGAUUGCUGAUAAAGAAGUUACAUCUUUGCGAAGAGAGACGGAUACUCUGCUUCCUUCGGAAGAAGUGAUUCAUGAACAGUUGGUUUCUUGUUUAGCCAAAGCUUUUUCUUAUGAUGAUGUUGUGUGGAAGGAAGAUCCUUCAGUCAUUUUGGACACCCAAGCUGAAGAAUAAUCCGGUUUUAUCCGGUUCUUAUCUACCAAAAAUGUUAUUAUAUUUUCACGUGCUAUAGAUUCAAAUUUUAUUGUCUUAUUCAUUCUCAAUUUUUCAUUAAUUGUUAUGUCUUCAUCAGGAUCAUAUGAAAUUAUUUCCAAGGAAAACAUUUUUGCUUUUUACCAAGCCUGCAAGCACCAUCAGCUUUGAUAGUCCAAUUACAUAGAUAACAUACAUCUUGAUCUCUCAGAGCAUCAAAUAUAUCAAAUUGUUUUAAUUGCUUAUCCCAUUGAAAAGUGCAAAAGAACAAUGUUGUUUUCCAAAGAUUGGUUUGAAACUUAAAGUGGUAUUCUUGCUUGAAAGGCACCACGUGAGAUCCUAGAUCGUCUUGCUUUGAUUUGCAAUGAACGGUAAGAGGUGGACCGCUUUUUUCUUGAUUUUCAAUCAAGUUUGUCAUUGUGACAACCGUAUCGGGCCAGAACGGUUGGACCCCAUAGCCCGAACCAAAUGAAAGAAAGACGAACAAGAAAACAAUAUAGAUUUUUGGCAGAUUUCUCAUUUGAUAUUUUUUGCUUGUAUUGGUAUGUAUGCGGCUUCUUCAGAUUGUAUGUUCUUGGAGUUGAUUUUAUAGUAUUUACAAUGGCUCAACAUUUUCCUUAUAUAGUUUAUAGUGAUAAUGCCAAUAACCAGACAAACAAGCAAAUCAGUAAAUGAGCAUUUAGUGAGACUAGAUUCGGUUCUUAAUGGAUUGUGUGAAAUUUGUCGUCCAAAGACAAGUACAUUGCAUUUUUCUGUGGUAAUUCGUAUCUUUCACUCCCUUUUUUAUAAGAGGUAAUGCGUUACUAUUUUCAACUUUUCAUGAUUAAUGUUUCUAUUUUUUUUUUAGAUUAUGUUUUAUCUUGUUAAAAGUAUAUUUUGAAGGGAAAAAGAAAAAAAAAGUGGAAAAGGAUAUAAGAGAAAACUUUGUAAAAUUGAGAGAGGAAUGUUUGUUCCUUCUCCAACAACAUCUUUAAAAAAACCGAUUAAGUUAUACUCAUAGAAAAUAUCUUAGUCCGAAGAGCCGAGAGGCUAUUUGUUAUCAUCUUUAGUUAAAACUAUUUGUUAUCAUCUUUAAUUAAAAUAUUUGAUAUAUUAAAAGUUUUUUUUUUUCAUUGCAUAAUAUAAAAGUUUUUACAGCAAAAACCUUGUUGGAUUCAUAUAUACUAAUUACGUUUAAAUAUUCUCUAUUUAUUGAUUUUAUUUAAUUGAUUACUAUUUCAUUAUAACUAUAAUUUGGGUAUUAUGGACGGAUUUUAACUAAAAGGCGCCCAAAACUAGUAGUGUUCGAACACGUGUCUAAAUCACGUGACAUGAUCGCGGACUGGGAAUUGACCACCGUUAAGAGUUUUCUCCGGUCCACGGCAGCUCACCGAAACCGGUGGAUCAAUCACCGAUGUUGAGGUCGUCACCAUAUAUAUCAGAGCGGAAUGUGAAGCGCCGCCGUCGCAAAGGAAGUCGGAAAAUCGAAAACCCUAAACAUGAAAGGUUAUGAAACAAAAUCUAUAAAUUUUUCAAAGAAAAUGAAAUUAUAAGCAGGAGUAAAAUAAAACCGUCCUCUUUGUCAUAGAUUAGCAAAUACUGUCAAGUCUGAUUUGGUUGAAAUUACAAAGUUGAGAAAGAAAAAAACUGGAAAAUUAAAACAAGGAAGAAAGUACGAACGACGUAACAUAAAACAAAACGGAAUCAAAAGCAAAUAAACCCAAACUGAAGCGAAGCAAACAACGAGGAGGAGGACGCAGGCGUUUCAACAGCAGAAUGUUGCGGCUUCGACCAGAGCCUUGGUAACGGGAUCAUCAGGUUUUGUUGAAAGAGCAAAGAGAGCCAUGGUCGUGAGAGCGUUAGCAGCCGCAGGAUUGUUACUCGUAGAUAGUGCAGCGAUGAAAUCUGUGGUCUGCUUGUCUUUGAUCUCACCGAAUUUGGGAUCGUCUAGAUUGUCGUCAUAACAAAUAGCGAAGACACCUCCAAGAGCCACCAUGGCACAAGUAACCGCAAUAAAAACCCAAAAAGCAGUUUUAUCAAAGAUCAGAGCCCAAAGACACACAUAAGCAGCCACAAGACUCAGUUCAUCGAAAAUGCUGAUUCCGGCAACGUCGAGGAGAGGUGUGUCGUCCUCCAUGUAAGUCCCCGGAUUGGCCAUGAAAAAGAGCAUCAAAAUGGUGAGUAAACUCAUGGUGAGGGUGCUGUUUUUGAUUGACCACUUCUCGUACUGCUCGUCGGUGUAGAAACUCUUGCUCAAUGAUGAACAUCGAUCUCGUACUGCUCGUCGGUUUAUAAACGCCAUUGUUAUGCACAGAGAAAACGAACGAAAGAGAGUAAAAAAGCAAAAGCAGAGAAGAAAACAAAACUUAAAAUUU
RNAcentral lists this long non-coding RNA (16340 nucleotides) under Arabidopsis lyrata. RNAcentral's name for it is "long non-coding RNA (ALYR_LNC002952)". The record is from RNAcentral. Lineage: Eukaryota; Viridiplantae; Streptophyta; Magnoliopsida; Brassicales; Brassicaceae.